UACAGAGGUCCCAAGCGUUGUUCGGAUUCACUGGGCGUAAAGGGUGCGUAGGCGGUAGGGUAAGUCUGACGUGAAAUCUUCAAGCUCAACUUGGAAACUGCGUCGGAUACUAUUCGGCUAGAGGAAUGGAGGGGAGACUGGAAUACUUGGUGUAGCAGUGAAGUGCGUAGAUAUCAAGUGGAACACCAGUGGCGAAGGCGAGUCUCUGGACAUUUCCUGACGCUGAGGCACGAAAGCCAGGGGAGCAAACGGG
This 253-nucleotide ribosomal RNA is filed under the name uncultured bacterium. Its description in RNAcentral is "partial 16S ribosomal RNA". It matches the Rfam family "Bacterial small subunit ribosomal RNA", at positions 524 to 776 of the family's 1533-position model. The record is from RNAcentral.